CAGCACCUCAAGUGGUCAGGAUGAUUAUUGGGCCUAAAGCAUCCGUAGCCGGCUCAGUAAGUUUUCGGUUAAAUCUGUACGCUUAACGUACAGGCUGCCGGGAAUACUGCAGAGCUAGGGAGUGGGAGAGGUAGACGGUACUCGGUAGGAAGGGGUAAAAUCCUUUGAUCUAUUGAUGACCACCUGUGGCGAAGGCGGUCUACCAGAACACGUCCGACGGUGAGGGAUGAAAGCUGGGGGAGCAAACCGGAUUAGAUACCCGAGUAGUCC
Molecule: ribosomal RNA, 270 nt
Filed under: uncultured archaeon
Lineage: Archaea
Description: partial 16S ribosomal RNA
Rfam family: Archaeal small subunit ribosomal RNA
Source: RNAcentral